AACGACCGCGGGCGGCGUGCUUAACACAUGCAAGUCGAACGAGAAGUACGGGUAGCAAUACCUGUAUUGUAAAGUGGCGCACGGGUGAGUAACACGUGGGUAAUCUGCCCUCGAGUUUGGGAUAACCCCGCGAAAGCGGGGCUAAUACCGAAUAAGACCACGGGGACCAAAGUCCCUGAGGUAAAAGAUGGCCUCUAUUUAUAAGCUAUCACUUGAGGAUGAGCCCGCGGCCCAUUAGCUAGUUGGUAGGGUAACGGCCUACCAAGGCUAUGAUGGGUAGCUGGUCUGAGAGGACGAUCAGCCACACUGGAACUGAGACACGGUCCAGACUCCUACGGGAGGCAGCAGUGGGGAAUAUUGCGCAAUGGGCGAAAGCCUGACGCAGCAACGCCGCGUGGGGGAUGAAGGUUUUCGGAUUGUAAACCCCUUUCGACCGGAACGAAUCUCCUCCUGGUAAAUAAUCAGGAGGAUCGACGGUACCGGGAGAAGAAGCCACGGCUAACUCUGUGCCAGCAGCCGCGGUAAGACAGAGGUGGCGAGCGUUGUUCGGAUUUAUUGGGCGUAAAGCGAACGCAGGUGGUUUGGUAAGUCAGGGGUGAAAGCCCACAGCUUAACUGUGGCACUGCCUUUGAUACUGCCUUUCUUGAGUGCAUGAGGGGGAAGCGGAAUUCCGAGUGUAGAGGUGAAAUUCGUAGAUAUUCGGAGGAACACCGGUGGCGAAGGCGGCUUCCUGGCAUGUAACUGACACUCAUGUUCGAAAGCGUGGGUAGCAACCAGGAUUAGAUACCCUGGUAGUCCACGCCCUAAACGAUGGGCACUAGGUGUGGGAGGUAUCGACCCCUUCCGUGCCGCAGCUAACGCAUUAAGUGCCCCGCCUGGGGAGUACGGCCG
Molecule: ribosomal RNA, 891 nt
Filed under: uncultured bacterium
Lineage: Bacteria
Description: bacterial SSU rRNA
Rfam family: Bacterial small subunit ribosomal RNA
Source: RNAcentral